AACGAACGCUGGCGGCAUGCCUAACACAUGCAAGUCGAACGAGAAAGGGGCUUCGGCUCCGAGUAGAGUGGCGCACGGGUGAGUAACACGUGGGUAACCUGCCUCUAAGAUUGGGAUAACUCGUCGAAAGAUGAGCUAAUACCGGAUAAGACCACAGUUCCUGCGGGAACAGGGGUCAAAGGUAGCCUCUGCUUGCAAGCUAUCACUUCGAGAUGGGCCUGCGCACCAUUAGCUAGUUGGUAGGGUAACGGCCUACCAAGGCAAAGAUGGUUAGCUGGUCUGAGAGGAUGAUCAGCCACACUGGAACUGAGACACGGUCCAGACUCCUACGGGAGGCAGCAGUGGGGAAUAUUGCGCAAUGGGCGAAAGCUUGACGCAGCAACGCCGCGUGAGUGAUGAAGGCCUUCGGGUCGUAAAGCUCUGUCGGGAGGAACGAAUGCUCCUGAGGUUAACAGCCUCGGGAGGUGACGGUACCUCCAAAGGAAGCACCGGCUAACUCUGUGCCAGCCGCCGCGGUAA
This 519-nucleotide ribosomal RNA is filed under the name uncultured bacterium. RNAcentral's name for it is "partial 16S ribosomal RNA". It matches the Rfam family "Bacterial small subunit ribosomal RNA", at positions 29 to 523 of the family's 1533-position model. The record is from RNAcentral.